UCUCCGUUGGUGAACCGGCGGAGGGAUUAAUACUGAGUGAGGGCUUCGGUCCGACCUCCAACCCUUUGUGAACCAAACUUGUUGCUUCGGGGGCGACCCUGCCGCUUCGGCGGGGCGGCGCCCCCGGAGGCCAUUAAACACUGCAUCAUUGCGUCGGAGUUAAAGUAAAUUAAACAAAACUUUCAACAACGGAUCUCUUGGUUCCAGCAUCGAUGAAGAACGCAGC
Molecule: unclassified non-coding RNA, 226 nt
Filed under: uncultured fungus
Lineage: Eukaryota; Fungi
Description: sequence contains ITS1, 5.8S rRNA gene
Rfam family: 5.8S ribosomal RNA (bases 178-226)
Source: RNAcentral